This is a small nuclear RNA of Jaculus jaculus (lesser Egyptian jerboa), 107 nucleotides long. Lineage: Eukaryota; Metazoa; Chordata; Mammalia; Rodentia; Dipodidae. The record is from Ensembl.
GUGCUCACUUCGGCAGCACAUAUACUAAAACUGGAAAGACACAGAGAAGAUUAUCAUGACCCCUGUGCAAGGAUGACACAGAAGUUCAUGAAGCAUUACAGACACUU